UGGUCUAGCAGUACUUCCUUUCAUUCUAAGAUGAGCUUCAGUGAUAGUGUACCUCCAACUGGAUCGUCAAUAGAAAAUUAGAAAUGAAGAAGAAAAUUUAACAUUCAUAUAUUGAAGUUGUUCACUCUGGUCAUUGCUCACACAAAACAGCAAAAAGCAAAUGACAGCUAUCAAGUAACAGAAAAUAGCAAUAGAAAAAAGUAAUAGAUUAUUCCAGAUUAUUAAAUUAAACCUUGCAAAUGAGAUUUAGCUGCCUGAUGAAACUUGUUUAUCUUCUAAUCCCUUCUUAUAAUUAAGAAUUCCUAUUACCGUCUUAAAGGUUUUAAACUAGAAUUCAUUUACAACCACCAAAAAAAAGGUCAAUUGCCAUUUUUUGGAAUACAGUCUGAAAAUGAGACAAAUUCGAUCACAUGAUCAGAGUUGCAGUUCAAAGAAAAAUUAUAGAGAUCUGAGCAACCAUGUUUCAAGUACAUCUUAACCAUGGUUGCACCUUGCAGAAGGUAAAUCAUGAACUCUGCAAGUUACAUCUGUAAGCAAUAGAGCUGAAGGCCCAAUAGCAGAAAUUAGUAGAAACUAGAAGUAAAGUUAAUAUUCCAGAGUCAAUGAGGAAUAAAGAACAAUUCUAUCAAGAGUAGGCAUA
Molecule: unclassified non-coding RNA, 640 nt
Filed under: Hevea brasiliensis (rubber tree)
Lineage: Eukaryota; Viridiplantae; Streptophyta; Magnoliopsida; Malpighiales; Euphorbiaceae
Source: RNAcentral